This 466-nucleotide ribosomal RNA is filed under the name uncultured bacterium. Its description in RNAcentral is "partial 16S ribosomal RNA". It matches the Rfam family "Bacterial small subunit ribosomal RNA", at positions 28 to 507 of the family's 1533-position model. The record is from RNAcentral.
GACGAACGCUGGCGGCGUGCUUAACACAUGCAAGUCGAACGGAAAGGCCCUGCUUGCAGGGUACUCGAGUGGCGAACGGGUGAGUAACACGUGGGUGAUCUGCCCUGCACUUCGGGAUAAGCUUGGGAAACUGGGUCUAAUACCGGAUAGGAGCAAUCUCUAGUGUGGUGGUUGGAAAGUUUUUUCGGUGUAGGAUGAGCGCGCGGCCUAUCAGCUUGUUGGUGGGGUAAUGGCCUACCAAGGCGGCGACGGGUAGCCGGCCUGAGAGGGUGUACGGCCACAUUGGGACUGAGAUACGGGCCAGACUCCUACGGGAGGCAGCAGUGGGGAAUAUUGCACAAUGGGCGCAAACCUGAUGCAGCGACGCCGCGUGGGGGAUGAAGGCCUUCGGGGUGUAAACUCCUUUCUCUAGGGACGAAGCUUUGUUGUGACGGUACCUAGAUAAGAAGCACCGGCUAACUACGUG